UCGAACGCUUCUUUUCCCCCAGAGCUUGCUCCCCCUUGGAAAGAGGAGUGGCGGACGGGUGAGUAACACGUGGGUAACCUACCCAUCAGAGGGGGAUAACACUUGGAAACAGGUGCUAAUACCGUAUAACAGUCAUAUGCCGCAUGGUUUAAAUUUGAAAGGCGCUUUCGGGUGUCGCUGAUGGAUGGACCCGCGGUGCAUUAGCUAGUUGGUGAGGUAACGGCUCACCAAGGCCACGAUGCAUAGCCGACCUGAGAGGGUGAUCGGCCACAUUGGGACUGAGACACGGCCCAAACUCCUACGGGAGGCAGCAGUAGGGAAUCUUCGGCAAUGGACGAAAGUCUGACCGAGCAACGCCGCGUGAGUGAAGAAGGUUUUCGGAUCGUAAAACUCUGUUGUUAGAGAAGAACAAGGAUGAUAGUAACUGAUCGUCCCUUGACGGUAUCUAACCAGAAAGCCACGGCUAACUACGUGCCAGCAGCCGCGGUAAUACGUAGGUGGCAAGCGUUGUCCGGAUUUAUUGGGCGUAAAGCGAGCGCAGGCGGUUUCUUAAGUCUGAUGUGAAAGCCCCCGGCUCAACCGGGGAGGGUCAUUGGAAACUGGGAGACUUGAGUGCAGAAGAGGAGAGUGGAAUUCCAUGUGUAGCGGUGAAAUGCGUAGAUAUAUGGAGGAACACCAGUGGCGAAGGCGGCUCUCUGGUCUGUAACUGACGCUGAGGCUCGAAAGCGUGGGGAGCAAACAGGAUUAGAUACCCUGGUAGUCCACGCCGUAAACGAUGAGUGCUAAGUGUUGGAGGGUUUCCGCCCUUCAGUGCUGCAGCUAACGCAUUAAGCACUCCGCCUGGGGAGUACGACCGCAAGGUUGAAACUCAAAGGAAUUGACGGGGGCCCGCACAAGCGGUGGAGCAUGUGGUUUAAUUCGAAGCAACGCGAAGAACCUUACCAGGUCUUGACAUCCUUUUGACCACUCUAGAGAUAGAGCUUUCCCUUCGGGGACAAAGUGACAGGUGGUGCAUGGUUGUCGUCAGCUCGUGUCGUGAGAUGUUGGGUUAAGUCCCGCAACGAGCGCAACCCUUUAUUGUUAGUUGCCAUCAUUUCAGUUGGGCACUCUAACCAAGAUUGCCGGUGACAAACCGGAGGAAGGUGGGGGAUGACGUCAAAUCAUCAUGGCCCCUUAUGACCUGGGGCUACCCCCGUGGCUACAAUGGGGAAGUACAACCAAGUUCGCUAAAUCUCGGAGGUUAAGCAAAAUCCUUUAAAGGUUUCUUCCAAUUUCGGAUUCGAAGGCGGGAACUCUCCUCGGUUGAAACCGGGAAUCCUU
Molecule: ribosomal RNA, 1320 nt
Filed under: Enterococcus faecalis
Lineage: Bacteria; Bacillati; Bacillota; Bacilli; Lactobacillales; Enterococcaceae
Description: bacterial SSU rRNA
Rfam family: Bacterial small subunit ribosomal RNA
Source: RNAcentral